GACGAACGCUGGCGGCGUGCUUAACACAUGCAAGUCGAACGGUAAGGCUCCAGCUUGCUGGGGUACACGAGUGGCGAACGGGUGAGUAACACGUGGGUGACCUGCCCUGCACUUCGGGAUAAGCCUGGGAAACUGGGUCUAAUACCGGAUAGGACUGCACCGUGAGGGUGUGGUGGAAAGUUUUUUCGGUGUGGGAUGGGCCCGCGGCCUAUCAGCUUGUUGGUGGGGUAAUGGCCUACCAAGGCGGCGACGGGUAGCCGGCCUGAGAGGGUGGACGGCCACAUUGGGACUGAGACACGGCCCAGACUCCUACGGGAGGCAGCAGUGGGGAAUAUUGCACAAUGGGCGGAAGCCUGAUGCAGCGACGCCGCGUGGGGGAUGACGGCCUUCGGGUUGUAAACUCCUUUCACCAUCGACGAAGGGUUUCUGACGGUAGAUGGAGAAGAAGCACCGGCUAACUACGUGCCAGCAGCCGCGGUAAUACGUAGGGUGCGAGCGUUGUCCGGAAUUACUGGGCGUAAAGAGCUCGUAGGUGGUUUGUCGCGUCGUCUGUGAAAUUCCGGGGCUUAACUCCGGGCGUGCAGGCGAUACGGGCAUAACUUGAGUACUGUAGGGGAGACUGGAAUUCCUGGUGUAGCGGUGAAAUGCGCAGAUAUCAGGAGGAACACCGGUGGCGAAGGCGGGUCUCUGGGCAGUAACUGACGCUGAGGAGCGAAAGCAUGGGGAGCGAACAGGAUUAGAUACCCUGGUAGUCCAUGCCGUAAACGGUGGGCGCUAGGUGUGGGUUUCCUUCCACGGGAUCCGUGCCGUAGCUAACGCAUUAAGCGCCCCGCCUGGGGAGUACGGCCGCAAGGCUAAAACUCAAAGGAAUUGACGGGGGCCCGCACAAGCGGCGGAGCAUGUGGAUUAAUUCGAUGCGACGCGAAGAACCUUACCUGGGCUUGACAUAUACAGGAUCGCGCCAGAGAUGGUGUUUCCCUUGUGGCUUGUAUACAGGUGGUGCAUGGUUGUCGUCAGCUCGUGUCGUGAGAUGUUGGGUUAAGUCCCGCAACGAGCGCAACCCUUGUCUUAUGUUGCCAGCACGUUGUGGUGGGGACUCGUAAGAAACUGCCGGGGUUAACUCGGAGGAAGGUGGGGAUGACGUCAAAUCAUCAUGCCCCUUAUGUCCAGGGCUUCACACAUGCUACAAUGGUCGGUACAGUGGGUUGCCAGUCCGUGAGGGCGAGCUAAUCCCGCAAAGCCGGUCUCAGUUCGGAUCGGGGUCUGCAACUCGACCCCGUGAAGUCGGAGUCGCUAGUAAUCGCAGAUCAGCAACGCUGCGGUGAAUACGUUCCCGGGCCU
RNAcentral lists this ribosomal RNA (1341 nucleotides) under uncultured bacterium. Its description in RNAcentral is "partial 16S ribosomal RNA". It matches the Rfam family "Bacterial small subunit ribosomal RNA", at positions 28 to 1381 of the family's 1533-position model. The record is from RNAcentral.